AAGGGCACCACAAGAACGCGUGGAGCAUGUGGCUUAAUUUGACUCAACGCGGGAAAUCUUACCGGGUCCGGACACACUGAGGAUUGACAGGCAAUAUUAAUACGUGUUCGCACGUAUUAUGUUAAAUAUGCUAGUCCUUUCAUGAUUAUGUGAUAGGUGGUGCAUGGCCGUUCUUAGUUCGUGGAGUGAUCUGUCUGCUUAAUUGCGUUUCACUAAGGGCCUAUAAAUUUACGUGUGUUGCGGCACUUUGACCCCUUUCUUCGGAAAGCGCGUGUCUUAGUUUGCUUUGCUCACACAAUUAGGUCCUGAAAGCAACGAACGUGACCGCAACCUCUUGUUGCCUUUAUACCAAACAUGUUUGACAUUUUUAUGGCAUUCAUGAAAAAAGGCUUUUUAAACUAGAGGGACCGCUGUUACUUUCUUAAACCAGAGGAAGGUUGCGGCAAUAACAGGUCUGUGAUGCCCUUAGAUGUUCCGGGCUGCACACGUGCUACAAUGAUUAUUGCAGUGAGCAUCUCAUUUUUACACACCGCAUGCGCGAGUCCAUUUAUUCACUUCGGUGCUUUAAAUGUGUAUUUCUGCGCGCGGUAAAGCCUGCUUCGAAAGUAAGUGGGUAAUCAAUUAGAAGUAAUGAUUUCCUUUUUAGCACACAUAUAUACGGCGUCUAUACCCGGGUUACCUUGUUGUAACUUUUGUGUGUAUAGAUGUUUUUUCCGUAUGUGCGAUUGUCAAUUCAUGGUGGGGACAGACCAUUGUUAAUUGUUGGUCUCGGUCUUAACUAGGAAUGCCUUGUACGGGUCUUUGGUUCAACAAACCACCCGGAAUACGUCCCUGCCCUUUGUACACACCGCCCGUCGCUCUUACCGAUGGACUUCUCUGUGAGUUUGAGGGACUGGGAACGCAGAAUUUAUUCUGCACACCUAUGGAAACUUAAACGAACAGUGUGGUCUAAAGGAAAGAGAAGUCGUAACAAGGCAUCGGUAGGUGAACCUGCAGAAGGAUCA
This 1004-nucleotide ribosomal RNA is filed under the name Cibicides fletcheri. RNAcentral's name for it is "SSU rRNA". It matches the Rfam family "Eukaryotic small subunit ribosomal RNA", at positions 1160 to 1828 of the family's 1831-position model. Lineage: Eukaryota; Foraminifera; Rotaliida; Cibicididae. The record is from RNAcentral.